GAUGAAGAACGUAGCGAAAUGCGAUACUUGGUGUGAAUUGCAGAAUCCCGCGAAUCAUCGAGUUUUUGAACGCAAGUUGCGCCCGAAGCCAUUCGGCUGAGGGCACGUCUGCCUGGGUGUCACGCAUCGUUGCCCCCCCAAACUCCGGUUCGGGCGGGGCGGAAGUUGGCCUCCCGUGCGUGCCUGCGCGCGCGGUUAGCCCAAAAGCGAGUCCUCGGCGAUGAGCGCCACGACAAUCGGUGGUUUUUUUACCCUCGUUCCUCGUCGUGCGUGCCCCGUCGCCCGAACGCGCUCUUGCAACCCUUACGCGUCGCCUCGGUGGCGCUCCCAACGCGUCCCCAGGUCAGGCGGGACUACCCGCUGAGUUUAAGCAUAUCAAUAAGCGGAGGA
RNAcentral lists this unclassified non-coding RNA (390 nucleotides) under soil metagenome. RNAcentral's name for it is "partial contains 5.8S ribosomal RNA, internal transcribed spacer 2, and large subunit ribosomal RNA". The stretch from base 1 to 122 matches the Rfam family "5.8S ribosomal RNA", at positions 35 to 154 of the family's 154-position model. The record is from RNAcentral.